RNAcentral lists this ribosomal RNA (429 nucleotides) under Bacillota bacterium. RNAcentral's name for it is "Firmicutes bacterium partial 16S ribosomal RNA". It matches the Rfam family "Bacterial small subunit ribosomal RNA", at positions 355 to 776 of the family's 1533-position model. Lineage: Bacteria; Bacillati; Bacillota. The record is from RNAcentral.
UAGGGAAUCUUCGGCAAUGGACGGAAGUCUGACCGAGCAACGCCGCGUGAGUGAAGAAGGUUUUCGGAUCGUAAAGCUCUGUUGUUAGAGAAGAACGUUGGUAGGAGUGGAAAAUCUACCAAGUGACGGUAACUAACCAGAAAGGGACGGCUAACUACGUGCCAGCAGCCGCGGUAAUACGUAGGUCCCGAGCGUUGUCCGGAUUUAUUGGGCUUAAAGCGAGCGCAGGCGGUUCUUUAAGUCUGAAGUUAAAGGCAGUGGCUUAACCAUUGUACGCUUUGGAAACUGGAGGACUAGAGUGCAGAAGGGGAGAGUGGAAUUCAAUGUGUAGCGGUGAAAUGCGUAGAUAUAUGGAGGAACACCGGUGGAGAAAGCGGCUCUCUGGUCUGUAACUGACGCUGAGGCUCGAAAGCGUGGGGAGCAAACAGG